Molecule: long non-coding RNA, 773 nt
Filed under: Homo sapiens (human)
Lineage: Eukaryota; Metazoa; Chordata; Mammalia; Primates; Hominidae
Description: long non-coding RNA NONHSAT118270.2
Source: RNAcentral
GGUCUCACACCCUCCAAUGGGUACACAGCUGCGACCUGGACUCGGACUGCAGCCUCCUCAGUGGGUAUGAACAUACCCUAUGACGGCGCCAGUUACCUCGUCCGAAACCAGGAACUGCGCUCCUGGACUGCAGCGGACAAGGCGGCUCAGAUGCCCUGGCGGAGGAACAUGCAGAGCUGCUCGAAACCUACCUGCAGGGAAGGUGGGCGGAGUGGCUCAGCAAAGUCCUUAAGAAUGGGAAGGAGAGGCUGCAGUGCCCAGAACCCCAAAAGACUCACAUGACCCACCACCCCAUCUCUGACCAUGAGGCCACCCUGAGGUGCUGGGCUCUGGGCUUCUACCCUGUGGAGAUCACACUGACCCAGUAGUGGGAUGGAUAGGACCAAAUGUAGGAUGCAGAGGUUGUGGAGACCACACCUGCAGGGUACAGAACCUUCCAGAAGUGGGCAGCUGUGGUGGUGUCUUCUGGAGAGGAGCAGAGAUACACAUGCCAUGUGCAGCACGAUGGGCUGCCAGAGCUCCUCACCCUGAGAUGGCUGUCUUCCCAGCCCACCAUCCCCAUCAUGGGCAUCGUUACUGUCCUGGUUGUUCUUGGUGCUGUUUUCACCAGAGCUGUGGUCACUGCUGUGAUGUGGAAGAGUAAGAGCCCAGGUAGGAAAGGGGUGAGCUCCGAGUUUUCUUCUUCCAUUGAUGGAAAAGGAGUCAGCUAUGCUCAGGCUUCAUGCAAGGACAGUACCCAGGGCUCUGAUGUGUCUCUCAAGGCUUGUAAAAUG